RNAcentral lists this small RNA (1153 nucleotides) under Pleosporales sp. TK36. RNAcentral describes it as "eukaryotic LSU rRNA". The stretch from base 391 to 1153 matches the Rfam family "Eukaryotic large subunit ribosomal RNA", at positions 1 to 804 of the family's 3401-position model. The record is from RNAcentral. Lineage: Eukaryota; Fungi; Ascomycota; Dothideomycetes; Pleosporales.
CGGUAGAGGUAACACUCUCACGCGCCACAUGCCUGAAUCCUUUUUUUACGAGCACCUUUCGUUCUCCUUCGGUGGGGUAACCUGCCGUUUGGAACUUAUCAAAACCCUUUUUUGCAUCUAGCAUUACCUGUUCAGAUACAAACAAUCGUUACAACUUUCAACAAUGGAUCUCUUGGCUCUGGCAUCGAUGAAGAACGCAGCGAAAUGCGAUAAGUAGUGUGAAUUGCAGAAUUCAGUGAAUCAUCGAAUCUUUGAACGCACAUUGCGCCCCUUGGUAUUCCAUGGGGCAUGCCUGUUCGAGCGUCAUCUACACCCUCAAGCUCUGCUUGGUGUUGGGCGUCUGUCCCGCCUCCGCGCGCGGACUCGCCCCAAAUGCAUUGGCAGCGGUCUUUGCCUCCUCUCGCGCAGCACAUUGCGCUUCAGAGGGGCGUGGGCCGCGUCCACGAAGCAACACGGCGAGUGAAGCGGCAACAGCUCAAAUUUGAAAUCNGGCUCUCUUUGGGGGUCCGAGUUGUAAUUUGCAGAGGAUGCUUUGGCAUUGGCGGCGGUCUAAGUUCCUUGGAACAGGACAUCGCAGAGGGUGAGAAUCCCGUACGUGGGCGCCUGCCUUUGCCGUGUAAAGCUCCUUCGACGAGUCGAGUUGUUUGGGAAUGCAGCUCUAAAUGGGAGGUAAAUUUCUUCUAAAGCUAAAUACCGGCCAGAGACCGAUAGCGCACAAGUAGAGUGAUCGAAAGAUGAAAAGUACUUUGGAAAGAGAGUCAAAAAGCACGUGAAAUUGUUGAAAGGGAAGCGCUUGCAGCCAGACUUGCCCGCAGUUGCUCACCUAGGCUUUGGCCUGGGGCACUCUUCUGCGGGCAGGCCAGCAUCAGUUUGGGCGGUCGGACAAAGGCCUCUGUCAAGUAUCUCCCUUCGGGGUGACCUUAUAGGGGAGGCGUAAUGCGACCAGCCCGGACUGAGGUCCGCGCAUCUGCUAGGAUGCUGGCGUAAUGGCUGUAAGCGGCCCGUCUUGAAACACGGACCAAGGAGUCUAACAUCUAUGCGAGUGUUUGGGUGUCAAGCCCGGGCGCGCAAUGAAAGUGAACGGAGGUGGGAACCCUUUGGGUGCACCAUCGACCGAUCCUGAUGUCUUCGGAUGGAUUUGAGUAAGAGCAUA